UACAAACUAGAAAUUGAUUGU
Molecule: non-coding RNA, 21 nt
Filed under: Caenorhabditis elegans
Lineage: Eukaryota; Metazoa; Nematoda; Chromadorea; Rhabditida; Rhabditidae
Source: RNAcentral